RNAcentral lists this ribosomal RNA (2920 nucleotides) under Salmonella enterica subsp. enterica. RNAcentral describes it as "partial 23S ribosomal RNA". It matches the Rfam family "Bacterial large subunit ribosomal RNA". The record is from RNAcentral. Lineage: Bacteria; Pseudomonadati; Pseudomonadota; Gammaproteobacteria; Enterobacterales; Enterobacteriaceae.
GGGUUGUGAGGUUAAGCGACUAAGCGUACACGGUGGAUGCCCUGGCAGUCAGAGGCGAUGAAGGACGUGCUAAUCUGCGAUAAGCGCCGGUAAGGUGAUAUGAACCGUUAUAACCGGCGAUUUCCGAAUGGGGAAACCCAGUGUGAUUCGUCACACUAUCAUUAACUGAAUCCAUAGGUUAAUGAGGCGAACCGGGGGAACUGAAACAUCUAAGUACCCCGAGGAAAAGAAAUCAACCGAGAUUCCCCCAGUAGCGGCGAGCGAACGGGGAGGAGCCCAGAGCCUGAAUCAGCAUGUGUGUUAGUGGAAGCGUCUGGAAAGGCGCGCGAUACAGGGUGACAGCCCCGUACACAAAAGCGCAUGUGCUGUGAGCUCGAUGAGUAGGGCGGGACACGUGGUAUCCUGUCUGAAUAUGGGGGGACCAUCCUCCAAGGCUAAAUACUCCUGACUGACCGAUAGUGAACCAGUACCGUGAGGGAAAGGCGAAAAGAACCCCGGCGAGGGGAGUGAAAAAGAACCUGAAACCGUGUACGUACAAGCAGUGGGAGCACAGGUUUACCUGUGUGACUGCGUACCUUUUGUAUAAUGGGUCAGCGACUUAUAUUCUGUAGCAAGGUUAACCGAAUAGGGGAGCCGGAGGGAAACCGAGUCUUAAUUGGGCGUUAAGUUGCAGGGUAUAGACCCGAAACCCGGUGAUCUAGCCAUGGGCAGGUUGAAGGUUGGGUAACACUAACUGGAGGACCGAACCGACUAAUGUUGAAAAAUUAGCGGAUGACCUGUGGCUGGGGGUGAAAGGCCAAUCAAACCGGGAGAUAGCUGGUUCUCCCCGAAAGCUAUUUAGGUAGCGCCUCGUGAAUUCAUCUCCGGGGGUAGAGCACUGUUUCGGCUAGGGGGCCAUCCCGGCUUACCAACCCGAUGCAAACUGCGAAUACCGGAGAAUGUUAUCACGGGAGACACACGGCGGGUGCUAACGUCCGUCGUGAAGAGGGAAACAACCCAGACCGCCAGCUAAGGUCCCAAAGUCAUGGUUAAGUGGGAAACGAUGUGGGAAGGCCCAGACAGCCAGGAUGUUGGCUUAGAAGCAGCCAUCAUUUAAAGAAAGCGUAAUAGCUCACUGGUCGAGUCGGCCUGCGCGGAAGAUGUAACGGGGCUAAACCAUGCACCGAAGCUGCGGCAGCGAACGUAUCACCCAAGACAACUUUACGGAGUUGACGAUUGACGGAGCGAAGCGACGUCAAAGCGUUCAUUAAAGUCGAGUUGGCUUAGGGAUACGUUCGUUGGGUAGGGGAGCGUUCUGUAAGCCUGUGAAGGUGUGUCGUGAGGCAUGCUGGAGGUAUCAGAAGUGCGAAUGCUGACAUAAGUAACGAUAAAGCGGGUGAAAAGCCCGCUCGCCGGAAGACCAAGGGUUCCUGUCCAACGUUAAUCGGGGCAGGGUGAGUCGACCCCUAAGGCGAGGCCGAAAGGCGUAGUCGAUGGGAAACGGGUUAAUAUUCCCGUACUUGGUGUUACUGCGAAGGGGGGACGGAGAAGGCUAUGUUGGCCGGGCGACGGUUGUCCCGGUUUAAGCGUGUAGGUGUGUGUUCCAGGUAAAUCCGGUUCACUUUAACACUGAGGCGUGAUGACGAGGCACUACGGUGCUGAAGCAACAAAUGCCCUGCUUCCAGGAAAAGCCUCUAAGCAUCAGGUAACAUCAAAUCGUACCCCAAACCGACACAGGUGGUCAGGUAGAGAAUACCAAGGCGCUUGAGAGAACUCGGGUGAAGGAACUAGGCAAAAUGGUGCCGUAACUUCGGGAGAAGGCACGCUGACACGUAGGUGAAGUGAUUUACUCAUGGAGCUGAAGUCAGUCGAAGAUACCAGCUGGCUGCAACUGUUUAUUAAAAACACAGCACUGUGCAAACACGAAAGUGGACGUAUACGGUGUGACGCCUGCCCGGUGCCGGAAGGUUAAUUGAUGGGGUCAGCGCAAGCGAAGCUCCUGAUCGAAGCCCCGGUAAACGGCGGCCGUAACUAUAACGGUCCUAAGGUAGCGAAAUUCCUUGUCGGGUAAGUUCCGACCUGCACGAAUGGCGUAAUGAUGGCCAGGCUGUCUCCACCCGAGACUCAGUGAAAUUGAACUCGCUGUGAAGAUGCAGUGUACCCGCGGCAAGACGGAAAGACCCCGUGAACCUUUACUAUAGCUUGACACUGAACAUUGAGCCUUGAUGUGUAGGAUAGGUGGGAGGCUUUGAAGUGUGGACGCCAGUCUGCAUGGAGCCGACCUUGAAAUACCACCCUUUAAUGUUUGAUGUUCUAACGUGGACCCGUAAUCCGGGUUGCGGACAGUGUCUGGUGGGUAGUUUGACUGGGGCGGUCUCCUCCUAAAGAGUAACGGAGGAGCACGAAGGUUGGCUAAUCCUGGUCGGACAUCAGGAGGUUAGUGCAAUGGCAUAAGCCAGCUUGACUGCGAGCGUGACGGCGCGAGCAGGUGCGAAAGCAGGUCAUAGUGAUCCGGUGGUUCUGAAUGGAAGGGCCAUCGCUCAACGGAUAAAAGGUACUCCGGGGAUAACAGGCUGAUACCGCCCAAGAGUUCAUAUCGACGGCGGUGUUUGGCACCUCGAUGUCGGCUCAUCACAUCCUGGGGCUGAAGUAGGUCCCAAGGGUAUGGCUGUUCGCCAUUUAAAGUGGUACGCGAGCUGGGUUUAGAACGUCGUGAGACAGUUCGGUCCCUAUCUGCCGUGGGCGCUGGAGAACUGAGGGGGGCUGCUCCUAGUACGAGAGGACCGGAGUGGACGCAUCACUGGUGUUCGGGUUGUCAUGCCAAUGGCACUGCCCGGUAGCUAAAUGCGGAAGAGAUAAGUGCUGAAAGCAUCUAAGCACGAAACUUGCCCCGAGAUGAGUUCUCCCUGAGACUUAGAGUCUCCUGAAGGAACGUUGAAGA